Phacochoerus africanus (Common warthog) is the source of this 1068-nucleotide long non-coding RNA. RefSeq lists it as uncharacterized. The transcript has 3 exons. NCBI's taxonomy places the organism in Eukaryota, Metazoa, Chordata, Mammalia, Artiodactyla, Suidae. The record is from RefSeq and is a predicted model, not a curated record.
CCCACACCUUCUGUCUGGCUUUGGCGGAAUCUGUGCACAAACCUAGAAACCAAGAAAUGAGUGAAUGGAUAGACUGGAGGAAUGGAGGGAUGGGCACGUGCAGCCGAGCGUUUCCUAACUGGGGAGAAGGCUCUGGGCCUGGGUGUAUGAACGCGCGUUAGCACACGGGUGGGCGUGUCGGCUUGUGUGCAGGGGAUCGUGUGUGUUGGUGUAUACAUACGUGCAUAUGAGUGUACAGGAAAGUGUGUGGGUGCGUGUGAGCCCGCACAUCGCCACAACUGCUGAGUUCCCAUACGAGGGGUCGAGCUCCUCGUCUCUUACCCAGCACCACGACUAUGUCCGGGUAAGCGGAACCGCUGGGAGCGGUUGGGAGCUUAGAGAAGAAUAGAAGCUGAAAAAAAAAAAAAAAAAAAAGACCCACGAGUGACACAGAGAGCUGAUCUGAAAACCCAAAGAAGGGGCCAUGACUGGUCCAUCAUAAAAAAAGAAUUUGCCAUUUCCUCCUCCUUCUAGCAAAGAGAAAGACCAACCAGCAUCAGGGUGGGUUCUGUUGUUAAAUUCUCCACCACACAGAGGUGAAAGAAACAUGGAUGAACCUCAAGAAAGAAGCCGACAUAAAAGACCGGACGUUGUAUGAUUCCAUUUACAUGAAAUACACAGAACAGGCAAAUCUGUAGAGAAAGAACUCGCUUAGGACUGGAGGCGAAAUGAAGCCUGAUAGGACAUAAGAAGGAUCUUAGGGGAGUGAUGAAAAUAUUACAAAACUGGAUUAUGGUGCUGGUUGGGAAAUUUACUAGAAAUUAUUGCAUACUUAAAUGUGUGAACUUUAUGGCAUGUAAAUUAUGUACUUCAGUUAAGCUUUUUUUUUAAAAAAGGAAUGCUGAAAAAAUGAACUGUGACUCAGAGGUUCUAACAGGUAAAAAAACAAAUGAAACACUGAGGAAAGUAGCAUAAGAACAGACAACUAGGAAUUCCUGUUGUGCCUCAAUGGGUAAGGAUCGGACUUGUCUCUGAGGAUGAAUGUUUGAUCCCCGAUCCCUGGCCUCACUCAGAGGGUUAAGGAUCCAG